RNAcentral lists this non-coding RNA (110 nucleotides) under Chloroflexota bacterium. RNAcentral's name for it is "Chloroflexi bacterium Glycine sequence". It matches the Rfam family "Glycine riboswitch aptamer". Rfam says of the family: This family represents the bacterial glycine riboswitch. Glycine riboswitches usually consist of two metabolite-binding aptamers domains with similar structures in tandem. The record is from RNAcentral. Lineage: Bacteria; Bacillati; Chloroflexota.
AACAGGAGCAGAGGAGAGACCCGGGCGGGGUGUUGACGGGCACCGAAGGGGCAAAUCUGACGUGGUGAAGGUCGGAUGAAACUCUCAGGUAGAAGGACUCUGUGUCUGAA